Molecule: ribosomal RNA, 403 nt
Filed under: uncultured bacterium
Lineage: Bacteria
Description: bacterial SSU rRNA
Rfam family: Bacterial small subunit ribosomal RNA
Source: RNAcentral
GGGGUUUGACAUGUCGAUGACGCAGGCAGAGAUGUCUGUUUCUUUCGGGACGUCGACACAGGUGCUGCACGGCUGUCGUCAGCUCGUGUCGUGAGAUGUUGGGUUAAGUCCCGCAACGAGCGCAACCCUCGUCACUAGUUACUAACGGUUAGGCCGAGGACUCUAGUGAGACUGCCUUCGUAAGGAGGAGGAAGGUGAGGACGACGUCAAGUCAUCAUGGCCCUUACGGCUAGGGCAACACACGUGCUACAAUGGUUAGGACAAUGAGAAGCAAUAUCGCGAGGUGGAGCAAAUCUAUAAACCUAAUCUCAGUUCGGAUUGUAGUCUGCAACUCGACUACAUGAAGCUGGAAUCACUAGUAAUCGUAGAUCAGCUAUGCUACGGUGAAUACGUUCCCGGGUCU